This 1382-nucleotide ribosomal RNA is filed under the name uncultured bacterium. Its description in RNAcentral is "bacterial SSU rRNA". It matches the Rfam family "Bacterial small subunit ribosomal RNA". The record is from RNAcentral.
GAAUUCGCCCUUAGAGUUUGAUCCUGGCUCAGGACGAACGCUGGCGGCGCGCCUAACACAUGCAAGUCGAACGAGCGAGAGAGAGCUUGCUUUCUCGAGCGAGUGGCGAACGGGUGAGUAACGCGUGAGGAACCUGCCUCAAAGAGGGGGACAACAGUUGGAAACGACUGCUAAUACCGCAUAAGCCCACGGGUCGGCAUCGACCAGAGGGAAAAGGAGCAAUCCGCUUUGAGAUGGCCUCGCGUCCGAUUAGCUGGUUGGUGAGGUAAUGGCCCACCAAGGCAACGAUCGGUAGCCGGACUGAGAGGUUGAACGGCCACAUUGGGACUGAGACACGGCCCAGACUCCUACGGGAGGCAGCAGUGGGGAAUAUUGCACAAUGGGGGAAACCCUGAUGCAGCGACGCCGCGUGGAGGAAGAAGGUCUUCGGAUUGUAAACUCCUGUUGUUGAGGAAGAUAAUGACGGUACUCAACAAGGAAGUGACGGCUAACUACGUGCCAGCAGCCGCGGUAAAACGUAGGUCACAAGCGUUGUCCGGAAUUACUGGGUGUAAAGGGAGCGCAGGCGGGAAGACAAGUUGGAAGUGAAAUCCAUGGGCUCAACCCAUGAACUGCUUUCAAAACUGUUUUUCUUGAGUAGUGCAGAGGUAGGCGGAAUUCCCGGUGUAGCGGUGGGAUGCGUAGAUAUCGGGAGGAACACCAGUGGCGAAGGCGGCCUACUGGGCACCAACUGACGCUGAGGCUCGAAAGUGUGGGUAGCAAACAGGAUUAGAUACCCUGGUAGUCCACACCGUAAACGAUGAUUACUAGGUGUUGGAGGAUUGACCCCUUCAGUGCCGCAGUUAACACAAUAAGUAAUCCACCUGGGGAGUACGACCGCAAGGUUGAAACUCAAAGGAAUUGACGGGGGCCCGCACAAGCAGUGGAGUAUGUGGUUUAAUUCGACGCAACGCGAAGAACCUUACCAAGUCUUGACAUCCUGUGACAGACGUAGAAAUACGUUCUUCCUUCGGGACACAGAGACAGGUGGUGCAUGGUUGUCGUCAGCUCGUGUCGUGAGAUGUUGGGUUAAGUCCCGCAACGAGCGCAACCCUUAUGGUCAGUUACUACGCAAGAGGACUCUGGCCAGACUGCCGUUGACAAAACGGAGGAAGGUGGGGAUGACGUCAAAUCAUCAUGCCCUUUAUGACUUGGGCUACACACGUACUACAAUGGCGUUAAACAAAGAGAAGCAAGACCGCGAGGUGGAGCAAAACUCAGAAAUAACGUCCCAGUUCGGACUGCAGGCUGCAACUCGCCUGCACGAAGUCGGAAUUGCUAGUAAUCGUGGAUCAGCAUGCCACGGUGAAUACGUUCCCGGGCCUUGCACUCACCGCCCGUCA